Molecule: non-coding RNA, 811 nt
Organism: Cinara cedri
Lineage: Eukaryota; Metazoa; Arthropoda; Insecta; Hemiptera; Aphididae
Source: the annotation of a GenBank genome assembly
CGAUUUACGAGUAGCUGCGUGUUCCGUUCAAAUUACCAAUNACGCGUGCAGCUAAUGAAUGCACAUUAUUGUAUCGUAAUAACUGAAUUCUAUACAAUACUAAUUUGAACGAUUGUUUAGCUAAUAAAUUAAAAAUAUAGUAUGAUAUAUUUUCCCGAUUAAUUUUUACAUUCAACUUUAAAUUGUUUUUACAAAAAAAAACAAUUUUCUAACAAUCGUUUUAGUUUCUUAAUUAGAUAAUAUUAUGUUAAAGAAUUGUUUUGGAUGUUGUCCCCUUCGGUAUGGUGUCAGUUUUUCUGCCAUUUUUAACAUAGUAAGUAUCAAAAACCUAUAUUUUUAUUUUUAAGUGAUUACUAUUACCUGCACGGGUACAUAUUGGAGUCUAAAAUGUUAUAGAUAAUACUACUAGAUAAAUUAACAGACUACUCUAGGGAGAUAUUAAGCCACUUGGCUUAAUAUAAUUGCAAACAAUUUAAAGCAUGAUAAUUGCAGAAAAACCAUAAACUGUCGUAGGUUUAUACAACUUGAGCUCGUUCCACCUCUGCGGAGGUAACCACUAUGUACACUUGUUUUCAAUAUUUAAUAAUGAAUGACUAUAUUAGUUGUAAAUAAUAUCCGAAGUUAUCAUUAAAUUUAAAUGACCAAUAGAUUUUAGAAAACCCUGUAAUUUAAUAUUUAUACCAUUCAUUUUAGUUUUGGAAUAUUUUGGAACUGAUUAAACACGAUUUACAUCGUACCUAUGACUAUGAUAGAAAGAUUAUAAAACCUUUGAAUUCUACAAGGAAAGAAUUUAACACGACAGAAUAUGAGU